RNAcentral lists this ribosomal RNA (439 nucleotides) under uncultured bacterium. RNAcentral's name for it is "partial 16S ribosomal RNA". It matches the Rfam family "Bacterial small subunit ribosomal RNA", at positions 339 to 795 of the family's 1533-position model. The record is from RNAcentral.
CUACGGGACGCUGCAGUGGGGAAUUUUGCGCAAUGGGGGCAACCCUGACGCAGCAAUACCGCGUGAGUGAAGAAGGCCUUUGGGUCGUAAAGCUCUUUUCUAAGGGAAGAUAGUGACGGUACCUUAGGAAUAAGCACCGGCUAACUCCGUGCCAGCAGCCGCGGUAAUACGGAGGGUGCGAGCGUUGUUCGGAUUUACUGGGCGUAAAGGGCGCGUAGGCGGCGUAGCAAGUUAAGGGUGAAAUCCCGGGGCUCAACCCCGGAACUGCUCUUAAAACUGCUAAGCUAGAGAUGGUCAGAGGCGGGUGGAAUUCCAGGUGUAGAGGUGAAAUUCGUAGAUAUCUGGAGGAACACCGGUGGCGAAGGCGGCCCGCUGGGGCCAUUCUGACGCUGAUGCGCGAAAGCGUGGGGAGCGAACGGGAUUAGAUACCCCGGUAGUC